AUACGUAGGGGGCGAGCAUUGUCCGGAAUGAUUGGGCGUAAAGGGCGCGUAGGCGGCCCGGUAAGUCUGGAGUGAAAGUCCUGCUUUUAAGGUGGGAAUUGCUUUGGAUACUGUCGGGCUUGAGUGCAGGAGAGGUAAGUGGAAUUCCCAGUGUAGCGGUGAAAUGCGUAGAGAUUGGGAGGAACACCAGUGGCGAAGGCGACUUACUGGACUGUAACUGACGCUGAGGCGCGAAAGUGUGGGGAGCAAACAGGAUUAGAGACCCUGGUAGUCCACACUGUAAACGAUGAAUGCUAGGUGUAGGGGGUAUCGACCCCUUCUGUGCCGCAGUUAACACAAUAAGCAUUCCGCCUGGGGAGUACGGCCGCAAGGUUGAAACUCAAAUGAAUUGACGGGG
Molecule: ribosomal RNA, 397 nt
Filed under: uncultured bacterium
Lineage: Bacteria
Description: partial 16S ribosomal RNA
Rfam family: Bacterial small subunit ribosomal RNA
Source: RNAcentral